GUUGUUUCCUCUGGGGCUAAGACACUUUGAUUUCCCCUGUCCAGUUGUUUCUGGAAGCGGAAGAUUAGCAGAAACCAAACCUCAAUUUUUGGGAAUAUGGCUAAGAUGUGAGCUACACUACAUGUGUGUUCCAGCUGCCCUUGAGUCUACAAGAUUACAUUAUCCAAGAUUUAAAAAUCAGCUCUCAUUCCUUUUCUAAUUUGUGUCUCAAGAUUGUUCGAUGUCCC
This is a long non-coding RNA of Sus scrofa (pig), 227 nucleotides long. RefSeq lists it as uncharacterized. The record is from RefSeq and is a predicted model, not a curated record. NCBI's taxonomy places the organism in Eukaryota, Metazoa, Chordata, Mammalia, Artiodactyla, Suidae.